This 6069-nucleotide long non-coding RNA is filed under the name Gossypium barbadense (sea-island cotton). Its description in RNAcentral is "long non-coding RNA (GBAR_LNC015862)". Lineage: Eukaryota; Viridiplantae; Streptophyta; Magnoliopsida; Malvales; Malvaceae. The record is from RNAcentral.
GAUUUGGCGUGUUGGGCCGUAAAUAUGGUCUUGCUGUUGAUCAUGUAAUUGAUGCUAAAUUGGUUGAUGCUAAUGGAAGGGUUCUUCGUCGAAAAUCCAUGGGUGAAGAUUUGUUUUGGGCUAUCCGAGGAGGUGGAGGGAAUACCUUUGGGGUUGUUCUUGCUUGGAAAGUAAAGUUAGUCCCUGUUCCACCGGUUGUAACUGUGUUUACAGUUAACAAGAACCUGGAACAAAAUGCAACCAAAAUCUUCCAUCGAUGGCAAUACAUUGCUCACAAGUUACCCAAGGAUUUAUUUACGACUGUUUGGGUAAUGAAGGUGAAUUCCAGUCAAGUAGGGAAGAAAACAGUUCAAGCUAGUUUUAGGGGCAUGUUACUUGGUGGGGUUGAUGAGUUGAUUCCAUUGAUCCAAAACGAGUUUCCAGAGCUAGGACUUGCCAAAGAGAAUUGUACCCAAAUGAGUUGGGUUCAAUCUAUUCUUUACUUUGGAGGACUUCCAAUUCAACCCGUGGAUAUUUUGCUUAAUAGACAUGCUCUUCCAGUAUCAAGCGUCAAAGAAAAAACGGACUUCGUCAGGGAACCGAUGUCUGAAACUGGAAUCGAAGGGUUCAUGAACAUGUUUCUUGAGGAAGAAGCUGACUUUGCUAUAACGAUGAUAGAGGCUUUCGGAGGCAGAAUGGAUGAAAUCCGGGAAAAUGAAUUACCUUACCCACAUAGAGCAGGCAUCUUGUUCGAAUCCACUUACAUUGUGCAAUGGACAAAUGAAGCAGAUGCGGGAACGUACAUAAACUGGAUCCGAAGACUCUACAGUUAUAUGGCCAGUUAUGCUUCCAAGUCUCCGAGAGAAGCAUAUUAUAAUUACAAGGAUCUAGAUCUUGGAACUAACAACAUUAUUGGUUACACAAGUUACGAACAAGCUAGCGUUUGGGGUCUUAAAUAUUUCAAGAAUAACUUCAAAAGAUUGGUGCAAAUAAAGACCAAGGUUGAUCCAAUGAAUUUCUUUAGAAACGAGCAAAGUAUCCCUCCGCUUUGAUCUCUAUGAAAGAAGAAAGGUCGUCAGGGUUGAAGAUUUUAGAGUUUUUUUUUUAAUGAAAUAAUAUUUGGGUGAAAAGUAAUACUAUAUUGUAAAAUAAAUUGUUUCUUUGUCAUUAUAUAUGUCAUGAUGAAUAAUUUAGUGCAUAAUGUAUUAAUUAAAUUAUAAAUUUAUCUUUAUUCUAAAAUAGUUUUUGUGCGGUGAUUAUACUUGAAAGGUCCCUGCAUUACAGGGAUUGGAUCACAUGGUUUGUCAUUUUAAUUUUUUAUUCAAUAAAAAUUUCAAUAAGAAAAAGGAGUUGAAUAAGAUAAUAGGUGUGGGGUAUGCCUGGCAUUUUCGGACCUUUUAGGCACUUACUGUUACCCCUAUCGCGACACGAGGACUUCAAAAACACAACAUGCCCAACAGACGAUGACAUCAUAACGAGGAGGUUUCCGACGUCACAACGACACAGUGUCACAACAACGGACGACAUCAUGGUGAGAUGAUUCAGGACAUUGUGACAUGGCGAUGUGUUCCCAUAUAAAUCAGGUUUCGUUUCCCAGUUAAACUCUGCUACCUUUUCGAGUCAAACUUAGAUUAUUUUAGAGAUAUUUUUUAGUCAGAUAUUCACACUAAUUUCAACCUAUAUAAGGACUUUAGUAACCCUAGAAUCGACAUCUUCAUCACAUUAAGAUUAAGAGAAGAUUAAGAGAGUUUUUGAAAGAGUUUAAGGGAAUUUCUUAUUUUAGCCAGAGAACUUUAUUUUUUAGGAUUCAGGGUUUUCUGUUUUGGUUAUCUCCAUCUUGUACUCUUCGUUUAUUUGCUCAUUAAGUAAAGCCUAUUUUGCCUGUGGUUUUUUUAUAAUCUCCAAAGGGAUUUUUCCAUGUAAAUAUUUGUGUAUCCAAUUUUAUUUUUCUCUUUUUUUUGUUGCGUAUUGAUCCACAAUAAACUGGCAUUAGAGCUUAGUUCAUUUUUCACAAUCAAUUCGUUCAGGGAUGACAAUGAGAUAUAAUAUCGAGAAGUUCGAUGGCAUCACAAAUUUCAGUUUAUGGCACGUAUGGAUGAUAGUUAUUUUGGUUCAGUAUGGCCUGAAAAAUGUCAUUACAGGGAAAAAGCCCGCAGAUAUGAAUCAGUUAGAAUGGGAUAAGCUUGAUAAGAAGACUUUGUCAGCAAUUCAGUUGUGCCUCACAAACAAUAUGUUGCAGGAGAUAUUUACAGAGAAAACGAUAGCAGCCUUAUAUAUGGAGUAAGUUAGAAACCCUAUACAUGACCAAGUUUCUAGCAGAUCGAUUGGUGUUGAAACAACACCUUUACACGUUUCGUAUAGCCGAAGGUGAGUACCUUAAGAGUCACAUUAGUCAAUUUGUUACUCUCUUGAAUGAUCUUAAAAACGUCGAGGUUAAUAUAGAUGAUGAAGAUCAGACUAUGCUAUUAUUGUGCUCUUUGCCCCUUUCGUAUAAGUCUUUCAAGGAGACCUUGAUUUAUAGUAGAGAUAAACUCUCGUUCGAGGAAGCAAAAGGAAACGUGUUGAGCAAAGACAGACUUGACAAUGAGUUUGAUUCGGAUAGCAAGUCAAAUGAGCAAGCCUCGGUUUUGGUUGCAAGAAGCAAGAAAGAAUCAAAGUCAAGGAAUCGAGACAAAACAUGUGGCUACUACAAGAAGUUAGGUCACAUUAAGACAAAGUGUUUGCAAAAAAUCAAAUGCUAGUUCAUUGUAUGCAUGACUUUUUUAGAUGUAUGAUUCUGAUUGGUACAUAAAUAUAUAAUAUACAUGACAUGCAUAUAUUUUUACAAUCAUGAAAAAGAGAAAGAAAGAAGUUAAUGAAAUUUUAAGCAAUGCAAGGAAAUAAUGUUUCAGUUGGUGCCUCAAGCCAAAAACACAUGUUUGUUCGAUGAUUUGAAAUCCAAAUAACCAUGUCUAUUUUGUAAACUUCCAUACAUGAAAAGUUAUGACUUGUCAAAAGGCACUUGUGUACUUAUUGGUACAUUAUAUAGAGUUGUUUGGUUGGAGUUGAAUUAAUUUAAUUCAUUCCAUCCAAUUUCUGAGUGAAAUUUUUAGUACAAAAAUAUUCUUUCUUUUUAAUGAUAUUCAAUUUGAGAUAUGAUAUUAUUUAUUUAAAUAAUGAUAUUAGUAACCAACAUUUGGAUAAUAUAGAUGAGACAUCAUUUUCAUUGUUAAAAAUGAAAGUUUGUAGAUGAUCGUAUAAUAUAAAUGAUUUUAGUUGUUGUUUUUAUUAAAUACCCUUAAGCUAAACGAGUUUUAUAAAUGAUUGCACAUUUUUUAUUCUAUAUCAUAAAGUUUGGACUAGAAGUGAUUUUGACUAGAAAAGAAUUAAGUUAUAUGCAUAUGUAUGGUUAAUUUUUCUAAUCAAUGUAGAAUAGUGGAAAAUUUGGCUUAUAUAAUAAUAUCAUUAUUCUGAUAUGAAAUUUUCUAGUGAGAAUAUAUAACGUGAUAAUCAUAUAUUUAAAAUCGAGAUCAUAUUGUGCAUAUUUAUAAUGGUGCAUAUGGUUUUUGUACAUGGCUUGGAUAUAAUCCAUGGUCUCACGAUUCUAUAAAAUUUGAGAUGUAGUAAAUUUCAAAAUUCACUUUCAAAGUCACGAAUAAAAAAAUAUCAUGAGUAUGAAAUUACAAUAUGACUACUAUUUGACCCAUUUUUAGGUGAUGGACCUGAUUUUGAUCAUAGUCAGAAAAUAAUUGAUAAUGCCCAUGGUGAAUAAAUGUAUGAUUUUAUAGUUGACUGGACAAUUGAUGGUAUAUUAGUGUGACUAUAUAUGUUACACCCUUGUAUAUACAAGGUGUGUUGAGAAAAAUAAUGUUAUUUGACUAUGAAUGAAAAAAAAAUUAAAGUCAUCUACUGAUUUUGAAAAUAAACUAUGACAAAUAACAAAUAUGUUGUCCAGUUUCACCAAGAGAUUGGCCUGUUAACAGCAACUUACUUGGUGAAAAAUACAUGAUUUAUGGUUUCUAUAUUUGGUUAUUGUGAAAUUAAUUUCUUGAAUAUUAAGAAAUAAAUAAAAUAGUCAAAUAUGAUAAGAAAAGAUAAAGUGAUCACUAUAAUUUGACAAUAGCAAAAAGGAUAUCCUUGAUAGCAUUUUUUUUGCGAAAAGAAUGAGUAAUUAACACAGUGAGGAUGUUGGUCUUCUAAAUUUUUAAGACAUAAAUAAAUAUUAUAAAGUUUCACCAUGUGAUAUGGAUAGUUAACAUAACUAUGUUGAAAUUUUGGAAAUUGAGAGAUGAGGUUCAAGCCUAUAAUAUUUGAGUCACGGAAACUCAACUCAACGCUUGGUAUAACGUUAAGUCUUGAGUUCAAUAAAGUAAAGUACAUCAUCAAUAUGUGGCUACUAGCACUAUAAAAAAUAUAUAUUAUAAACAUCAGACAAUGAUUAUCUUUGAAACGAUACCAAAUAUCUACCAAACCUCAUAAUUUAGACGAAAAUUAAAAUUUAGCUACUCAUAAUUAAAGGAUAAUAAAAUAAAACUCAAAUAACAAUGGCCUUGGUCUCUUCGGGUGCGCCCCCGGCCCCUCUCCUUACGUCUAUUAUUAUUAAAACCUAAUUAAGUAGCUGUGGCGGCCCCCAAUUUUGACGAAAAUAAUGAUAAUAAUAUCCAAUGACCCUAAAAAUAAGGGUAAUAUUAAAACCAAGAAAGAAAAUUUUAAAGAUAAAUAUUCUAAUCAAAAUUAGGUUAUUGGAAUUUAAAAAUAUAUAUUAGAGUUGAAUACAAAUAAUAAAUAACUUCAAAAUUCAUUAGAAAAUUUAAGAAUUUCAUCGCAAAUUGUAAUAAUUUUAAUUUAUUUAAUAUAUAUUUUUAAAUGGUUUGACUGUUAAGAGUGUUCACCGCCUUAGAUGUAGCUUGAGUUUAAGUCAUGUUAGUCGUAUUAAUCAUUCGAGUUUUAUUCUAUUAUCAUAAUUCACCAAAAAAAUUCGAAAAUUGUGUAUAAAAUUGGUAUCUACCUUUUUAAAUUAAACUUCGAUGCACUAAACACGGUGUUAAGCAAAUUGGUAUUGUUUAGAGCAUUUUGUUUUCCCUAGGAGUAGACUUUGACAAAGUAAAUGGAAUAAUAAAUAUAAAACUUUUGAAACAUAGUUAUAAAUAAGUGUAACACAUUUCCAUACUCACAACCAACUUAAGAACAUGAAAUUCCUUCAACUUUCUGUGCUUCCAUUUCUUAUUGUGAUAUUGUCAUUGAAUGGGGCAACUUUAGCUCAUCCUUAUGGAGAUUUCCUUCAUUGCCUUUCUCUCCGUAUAUCAAACUCUUCUACUAUUUCUAAAGUUAUUUACACCCAAAAUAAUCCCUCCUAUUCAUCGGUUUUGAAUGCUUCUAUUCAUAAUGCUAGGUUCUCUACACCAACCACCCCUAAACCCUAUGCCAUUAUUACACCACGCAAAACAUCCCAUGUCCAAUCAACAAUUUAUUGUUCCAACAACCAUGGCUUCCAACUUAGGAUUCGAAGUGGUGGUCAUGAUGUUGAGGGUGUUUCUUAUGUUUCUCAAGUUCCAUUUGUCAUCCUUGAUUUGGUCAACUUUCGAGAGGUUAAAGUUGACACAGAAAAUGAAGUUGCCUGGGUUCAAUCUGGUGCAACUACAGGUGAAUUAUAUUAUGGGAUUGCUUCGAAGACGCAGACGCUCGGCUUUCCUGCUGGUAUUUGCCACACUAUAGGCAUUGGUGGGCAUUUAAGUGGGGGUGGAUUUGGCGUAUUGGGCCGUAAAUAUGGUCUUGCUGUUGAUCAUGUAAUUGAUGCUAAAUUGGUUGAUGCUAAUGGAAGGGUUCUUCGUCGAAAAUCCAUGGGUGAAGAUUUGUUUUGGGCUAUCCGAGGAGGUGGAGGGAAUACCUUUGGGGUUGUUCUUGCUUGGAAAGUAAAGUUAGUCCCUGUUCCACCGGUUGUAACUGUGUUUACAGUUAACAAGAACUUGGAACAAAAUGCAACCAAAAUCUUCCAUCGAUGGCAAUACAUUGCUCACAAGUUACCCAAGGAUUUAUUUACGACUGUUUGGGUAAUGAAGGUGAAUUCCAGUCAAGUAGGGAAGAAAACAGUUCAAGCUGGUUUUAGGGGCA